Molecule: long non-coding RNA, 543 nt
Filed under: Salmo trutta (river trout)
Lineage: Eukaryota; Metazoa; Chordata; Actinopteri; Salmoniformes; Salmonidae
Description: lncRNA (ENSSTUG00000011196.1)
Source: RNAcentral
CCCCCUUCUCUCAGAAGUGUGCACUCGUAGAGAAUCGGACUGCAGCUACUUCUGUAGCCUGGUGUCCUUGAUCAACCAUAUUUAAACUAUUCGGUAUCACCAAAAGAACGUUUCCAGUCAACAGAGUCGUACCCAAGUGGCACAGCGGUCUAAGUUCCCCAGGCUUUGGGCUGACCCUGGUGGCAGAGACCUGUUCCUCAGUGCAGAGCAGUUGUCCACCCCCCUGGGGCAGGGAGACCCCGUGCUGCCAGAGGACCUGAGAUGGAACUGUGCCAAACUGCUGUUGGAGGAGAUCUACAAGGUUCAGGGUCGUUUUGAGACUGAAAAUCCCUAUACGGAUUGACCAACUAGGGUUUGCAUGCCCUUCCGAAGGAUCCUACCAAGCGGAAUAGGUGGUUGGUGUUCGUUGGUCCCCAGUGCAGUGGUGGCCCUCCCAGCCAACACCACCUCAUCAGAUUUCCUGUUGCAGUUGUUGGAGACAUGUCCAGAUGGCAGCAGAACAUGCAGCAUAGUGAAGACUUUCAUCAGUAUCAUACAGACUUG